Molecule: ribosomal RNA, 146 nt
Filed under: uncultured bacterium
Lineage: Bacteria
Description: partial 16S ribosomal RNA
Rfam family: Bacterial small subunit ribosomal RNA
Source: RNAcentral
CAGCAGUAGGGAAUAUUGCACAAUGGGCGGAAGCCUGAUGCAGCAACGCCGCGUGCGGGACGACGGCCUUCGGGUUGUAAACCGCUUUCGCCUGUGACGAAGCGUGAGUGACGGUAAUGGGUAAAGAAGCACCGGCUAACUACGUG